Taeniopygia guttata (zebra finch) is the source of this 1965-nucleotide long non-coding RNA. The record is from Ensembl. Lineage: Eukaryota; Metazoa; Chordata; Aves; Passeriformes; Estrildidae.
UUUUUUUUUCACUGGAGCAUCCAGUCCUGGCAAAUGCAUAAGGUCAGCCCUUGGAAGAGCAAAACGCUGUCUCCAAGAAAACCAAAUGAGUGGCUUAAAUCUGUCCAUUUGUCUGCCUGUUUUUUGGCCUUGGGAUUACUGUGCUUUUCAAAGCUAUGCUUUCAUAACUUGGAUAAAAAGGUAAAUGUUUCAUAUAGCCCUGCAAGUAGUAAUCAUCCUUUUCAUGCAAAAAACCUGCUGCCUGAGGGAUGGGCCCAAACCAGAGGUGUUUCUCAUUUACCUACAAAGUGUCUGGCUUUAGCAUCUGUAGUCAGUUUUUGUGAACAUGUGAGUCCAUUGCCUGCUCUAACAGAGUUAGUGACUUACUUUCAGUGGUUGUAGAGAGUUUCACUGAAAUAGCACUGUUUGUAGUCCAUUGUGUGACUUAGGAGACACAAAAGCCAGAAAAUUCUGCAAUUGUAAUAUAACUGUACGUGGCGUUCCCAGAAAAUGCUCUGAAGUCUUCUCCCGUUGCACCAUGGUGAUAAAAACCACUGCUGCUUUUCAAGCUCCACGAGGCCAUGCUGUGCUGUGCUGAAAGGGAUAGAAAAGCCAAUUAGCUCUGAAAAGUGAAGGGCAGAGAGGAGUGCUCUGGCCUGGAAUUCCCUCCCUUUGGCAGCAGCAAAGGUCAGCUGUGCAGCCAAAUUUCAGUGACCACAUGUGGAUCCAGCUUGUGUGUGUUGCCAGCUAUCUGCACAGGGAGUGGGAGAGAGUGGGGAGGAAGAAUUGAUUCUGGAAGGGGAAAGCCUGAGUUAAAGGGAAAAGUGGAGUGAAAUGUGACAGCUGGGAUUUCCAGAAGGUAGUUUGAUGGAUGCUGGGCAUCCAGCUUCCCUAGAACUCUUUAUCAGUAAUACCCUCUAUAUCUCCCUGAGUGACUUUUAGCCUGUCUGGCAGUUUUCAGCAUCAGUGUGUGAGGGAAAAGAGGUGGAAGGCAGUUCUCUCUGAUUUGGCAGCUCUGGGACUUUGUGCUGCUGGCUGAGGGUCUGGAUUUCUCAGGAACUUCCUGGCUACCUGUGGCUCCCACAGGCUUGUAGGACUGGGCUUAGAGAAACCCUGAGCUGCCAGAUGUCUGCUUUUGGUGCAGCUCUUCUGAAUAGUCCUGGGUGUGGAUGUGAGCCUGCAGUCCUUGGGAGGCAAAAUUCACAAUCCCAAGGGACUUGCUCUAUCUGUCAGUGCAGGCCAGCUGUGGGAAUCCUCCAAGUCCCUUUAUCCUGAUCUGUGUGUCAAGCCCCUGUGGCUGACCCGAGCUGCCAUGGACCCUUCUUGCAAGGGCAAUUAUUUUCAGAGUCAGUGUAGGUGAUGGCUACCUUUGGAAAAGUGUGAAUACCCUGGGGAAAUCCAUGGGGCAGACACCUUGGGCCAUACUGUGUGCUGACACCAUCAGCAGGCAUGAUACAGAGGUGCUUUGCUUUUGGUGUGAAACCUUGCUCUGAUGCAUCAUUCCAAGGAAAACAGCUGGAAUUUGCAGAGCAGGUCAGAGAUGAGUAAUUCCAGCUCCCUUACUGGACCUGAUUUAUACAGCUCAGGUCCAAUAGUUCUGAGAAAUUGUUGAUGGUGGGAGCCUUUCUGUUUGUUUCUCUGAAAACUUGAAGCCUUUCAAAUAAAGAACAAAUGAGGUGUAGGGAAUUUUUAGCUGGGGUAUGUGCUUCAGGGUGUUUGCUGCAUUCAGGCUUCCAGAACACAAAUUCUCUGCAGACAAUCCCACACACAGUGGGAAAAAAGGAUAUUGGGCUUGGAAGUGUACCAGGGAGAUGGGACUCAAGUGAGCUUUGAACAGCAAUCAUUGUCAUUAGUGGUGGUGCUGUAAUAUGUGCUUGACUCAAAUCCAGCAUUGCACAGGCAAGAACCUGGUGAAACCUUGUAACUUGAUAUUUGUGGUUGUGAUCCGCUGUUGAAUAGGCUAGACAUGAAUAAAAUCAGUAUUUU